Long non-coding RNA from Xiphophorus couchianus (Monterrey platyfish), 433 nucleotides. RefSeq lists it as uncharacterized. The record is from RefSeq and is a predicted model, not a curated record. The transcript has 4 exons. Lineage: Eukaryota; Metazoa; Chordata; Actinopteri; Cyprinodontiformes; Poeciliidae.
GAAAGUAGUCACCCCCCUUGAACUUUGCAACCUUUUGCCGCUUUUCAGGCUUCAAACAUAAAGAUCUAAAAUGUUUAUUAUUUUGUGAAGAAUCAACAAGUGGGACACAAUCGUGAGGUGGAACGAAAUUUGAGAUCAUUAUCUUGUUGGAAGACAAAUCUCCGCCCCAGUCUCAGGUCUUUUGCACACUCCCACAGGUUUUCUUCCAGAAUAGUCUUGUAUUUGGCUCCAUCCAUCUUCCCAUCAAUUUUAACUAUCUUCCCUAUCUCUGCUGAAGAAAAGCAGGCCCAAACCAUGAUGUUGCCACCACCAUGUUUGACAGUGGGGAUGGUGUGUUCAAGGUGAUGAGCUGUGUUGCUUUUACGCCAAACGUAUCGUUUUGCAUUGUGGCCAAAAAUGUUUGGUUUCACUUUGCACUUUGGUAUUUGUUAAA